UAUGUGAUCGUCUCUCGCAUAUCAAUAAGCGGAGGAAAAGAAACUAACAAGGAUUCCCUUAGUAACGGCGAGUGAAGCGGGAAGAGCUCAAAUUUGAAAUCUUCAAGGUUUUACCUUGACGAAUUGUAGUUUAAAGAAGUGUUUUCUGUUGAAGUUUUGGUAAAAGUUCUUUGGAAUAGGACAUCAUAGAGGGUGAGAAUCCCGUAUUUGACCAUUAUUUUCAGCUGUGUGAUACACUUUCAAAGAGUCGGAUUGUUUGGGAAUGCAGUCCAAAAUGGGUGGUAAAUUUCAUCUAAAGCUAAAUAUUGGCGAGAGACCGAUAGCGAACAAGCACCGUGAGGGAAAGAUGAAAAGAACUUUGAAAAGAGAGUUAAACAGUACGUGAAAUUGUCAAAAGGGAAGCGUUUGACACCAGUGUUGUUUUCUCGAAAAUCAAUUAAAAAGAGUUAGAUUUUGUUGUGUAUUGACCUUAACAGCUUGCAUUUCAAUUUUCUUGCUUUUUUUAAUGCACUUUUCGUUUAACAAGUCAACAUCAGUUUCUUUUGUUGUAAAAAGGUCAUUGGAAGGUGGCUUUCUUUUCGGAGAAAGUGUUUAUAGCCUUUGACUCCUGCAAUCGGAGAGACUGAGGUCUGCAGCGUAGAUCCUUCGGGGUUAGAUACAUUUGUGCUAAGUUAUAGCUUUUUAUAGACAACUUGUUGACUAUGAUUAGUCUUGUAGCUUACUCGCUUAUGCUAUUUUACCUACGCUUAGGAUGUUGAAGAUGUAGCACAUCAU
This 774-nucleotide ribosomal RNA is filed under the name uncultured Neocallimastigales. RNAcentral describes it as "partial large subunit ribosomal RNA". It matches the Rfam family "Eukaryotic large subunit ribosomal RNA", at positions 24 to 620 of the family's 3401-position model. Lineage: Eukaryota; Fungi; Neocallimastigomycota; Neocallimastigomycetes; Neocallimastigales. The record is from RNAcentral.